UGCUAAUGCAGAACCCCAUAGGAUGUUUUUGUGUUGGUUAAGGGCAGUCAGGUCUGGAGAGAACCAAGGGCUAUAUCUGUUCCUGGUUCUAAAUUUCUAAAUUUCUUCAUCAAAUGACGAUGGAAACUGUGUUUUUUGAAUAAAUUAUGAUUGACAAAUAAUUUUGAAGGUACGCAGGGCACAUGAUGUCACUGCAUAACUAUAAAGCUCACUCCACAAUAGAUACCGCAUUUAAAACAACUGGGACCUCGGAAAAAUAGGUCAAAUCAUGACAUUAGUGAUCCUCAGGUCAGAAAGUCAGAGUUCUAGAAAGAGGCCAGAGUUUCCGAGUCGGAUGGCUGUACAAAUUUCAAUUUUUUUUGCCCAGUUAGAGCUUGUUUUUCCCCCCCAGAGUUCCCAGUUUCGCACUGAAGUCUGCUAUUUCGGAGUUCCGAGCUUCCAGUUGUUUUGAAUGCGGCAUAAUUGUAAAUGCCUAGGUCUUGCGAAAAACUAUUUUAUUUUUUUCAACUACAAGCAUUUUUCUUUGCAGGGAAGUGUUGUCCUGACUUUCAAGAAUGCCUGAAUUGCUUCGCCUUGCUUUUCUGGUUGGCUGGCAAGUUUCACCUCGCAAUUAUUUCAGAUCUACAGGAGUGCAAGUCUCACCAUGGCACAGUCCAUGGGCGAUACGAUGGCACAUGAUGAUUAUAAGAAUAUGGCAAAUAUUAGUCAUUUAUUACAUUCUAUCCAUGCUGGCUUUCGCGGACUACCUGAGACAUGAAACAGAUAGGUGGGAGGGAAAUGUAUUGAUACCCAAUUUGCCUAAAGGGGUAAUGAAAACACUUCAACCACAACAUUUUUAUUCAACACUAGGUUUUUGCGUCAACUUAUUUUUUAGGUGUGGUAUCAUUAUGUCCAGCUGUUUUCAUCGACACAAGAUGGUUCAAUGGAAACGCACCCUAAGCAGGCAAUUGUCACAUGUAUUUUCUAUGCAAACUUUCUAAAUCGAGAAAUCACUGGACAAGUUAAUGGAAACAGCUGGUGACCUCAAGCAGCACCUGUGUGAGCGUUCUGUCCUGUGUGAUUGUGACAUCAUAAAGAACUCCUCUGUGAUUGACUCCAUACAGAACUCCUGUGCUAUUGUAACAUCACAAUGCGAUUCUCCCUUUGUUGCUUAGACCAGUGAGUGUCUGAGCUGUGGAGUCGUUGUAGAUCAGGUUUGUCAUGUCUCUGUCCACAACGGACUCCAGCUGAACCGCUCUCACGUAACAUUGCCUUCUGCUCGUGUGUUCGUCUGUGUGUUUACUAAACAAAGUCUGUACUCGGGCUUCAUCUCUUCCCAAUGCUUUAUUUGUCCCAUUUUUGUCAGAAAGGCUCAGUCAAUGUUGGCACUGCAGUUCUCUGACUGUCAACUAGAGAGCAGUGUAGCUUGUCAGAGCCUGUCAGGAUGUGGGCCAAAAUAAUUAGAACAGAACAUGGAUCACAGGCCAGUUUGGUGUUUCUGUUAUCGCAUUGAGAGAGCUGUCAGUGUUUGUGCAGCUGGGAGUGAAAUCAAUAUUCACAAGGAGCAGCAAUGUGUGUGUGUGUGUGUGUGUGCGUGCGCACGCACACUUUUGAGUUGUGUGUGUGUGUGCCUUCUCAUUAAAAGAGGAUACAAAUCACUUUUGAAAAAUAUAUUUUAAUGUGAUCUAUUCAACAAAUACACAUGGAAGCAGCUCACACAACACGCUGAUGAAGGCUGUAAAGCCGAAACGUCUGUGUACCCUAUCCCUGAUGCAGUGAAAAUAAUUAAAAACAUUGAGUAAUGAAGUAAGCAUUAUGCAACAUCCUUUUUGAGUGUGGACCCAUCACAUUCCCCUUUUGUUUGAGCAGCUCACACUAUGGAAAGUAUUUUAUCAACACACACACACACACACACUGCUGUUUUCAGCCACUCCAGAUUUAACCUUUUCAGGCAUACUCUUCCAGUGGAUACUAUUUCCAGAUGCUGCCUGCCUGGGGUUGUUUGUGCAUCUUGGUGAGCUGCUAAGUGCAAAUGGUGUAGUGUUUUAAGGUGAUGAACAGGGGUUGUCCUAAUAACCUUUAAACUGUCAGAUGGACCUGUGUGUGUCAAUAUACUGUACCUGGAUUAGAUAGGCCUAGAUGUGUGUGUUUUCUGAGGGUAAUCUACUACAAUGUGAGAAACGCAUCCUUUGGGGUCAUGAUCAGGAGUGUGUGCGUGCAUGAAUACCCCCCCCCUCCCCUGCAUGCAUCAGAUUGAUGUCUUGUGUCUCUCGACAUGUACCUCCUUGACCACCAGCAGUACAGUAGUUGCACUACUGUUCCAAACCAUGCUGCCGAAGGUCAACGGGUGUUUUCUCUCCAUUGUUCUAUGGAAGGAGCACAGAAUUCCCCAAAACAACAUCCAAGGUCUUUUCAAACCAAAUUGAAGCCAAGUUGUUUUAGUUUGGGAGUCGGCAACAGAGGUAAACGGUUGUCCCGCCCCAACAUCUAUAAUGGAAAGAGAUACACUGCUCUGUGUAUUGACUGAGUCAGUAGUGGUUGGACAUUGUCAACAGGGGGACGUCACUUUUAUAUUGUUCACUGUAAAAGUCCCCUGGCACAAGUACAGUAUUAACGGCUGGCUGGUUGUGUCUGUCUUUGCAGAGUCAUAAAUGACUGAUUUAUCAAGUCUAAUGACACAGCGGUCAGGUGAUUGGCCGCCUCAGGCUUCCACAGGUUGUGAUUGGCUAUGUCAGGGCGAGGUGUGACUUUCAUCAGAUACCUUUUAUUGUUCUCGAUAGAUUACGUGCAUCCUGCAUGCGUGGAUACAGCAGACGUUGUAUUGAACCCAGGUUGCCAAUGUGACUUGGACUGUACUAGCCCUCUGAGCUAAAGCCUAGGUGACCCACGCCACCUCCUCUACACAUGUACAUACGUUUAUUUGCUCAGACAUAAACCUCUGCUCUGUAUGCAAGGCCCUACAACAGAAAUGGGUUACUGAACAAAUGAAUCAAACCCUGGUAUGAGCUGGUUCCAGAGAGGAAAUCGACCAGGAACGGCUUUCACAGUUUUACUGCACCCUCUUGCAUCAGACUUUGGGUUAGUGGACUUCCCUGUUUAUCUGACCACAGUGAUAGCGUCAGAUACCCAUUUGUACCCCACAGCCUUCCAUCAAUCAGGCUUUGGAUAACCACUGUUUACUGUUUAUCUGGUCACAAUGUUAGUUAGUCAGUGUUCCUUGUGUUAAUCAUUACCUCCGAACCUGAUUACUCACACAAGCACACGUUUGUUUUAAUGUCCUUGUCGGUCUAAACAAUUGUUUCCCAUUUAAAAUAUCAGUUUCCCUAAGCCUUACCCCUAAUUCUAACCCUAAGCAUUAAAUUGCCUUUUCCCUUGUGGGGACCUGUGAAAUGUCCCCAUUUUGUAUAGAUGUUCCUUGUUUUACUAUCAUUGUCAGGACGUCUGGUCCCUACAAGGAUAGUAAAACCAAAAAAACACACACUUGAGUCUAUGUCCCAAUACUUAAACUUCUCAGAACAUGCAGCCAGGUGACCUGAUAUGAGGGACUAGAACAUACAGCCAGGUGAUAUGAGGGACUAGAACAUACAGCCAGGUGAUAUGAGGGACUAGAACAUACAGCCAGGUGAUAUGAGGGACUAGAACAUACAGCCAGGUGAUAUGAGGAGGGACUAGAACAUACAGCCAGGUGAUAUGAGGAGGGACUAGAACAUAACAGCCAGGUGAUAUGAGGAGGGACUAGAACAUAACAGCCAGGUGAUAUGAGGAGGGACUAGAACAUAACAGCCAGGUGAUAUGAGGAGGGACUAGAACAUAACAGCCAGGUGAUAUGAGGAGGGACUAGAACAUAACAGCCAGGUGAUAUGAGGAGGGACUAGAACAUAACAGCCAGGUGACAUGAGGAGGGACUAGAACAUAACAGCCAGGUGACAUGAGGAGGGACUAGAACAUAACAGCCAGGUGACAUGAGGGGGACUAGAACAUAACAGCCAGGUGACGUGAUAUGAGGAGGGACUAGAACAUAACAGCCAGGUGACGUGAUAUGAGGAGGGACUAGAACAUAACAGCCAGGUGACGUGAUAUGAGGGGGACUAGAACAUAACAGCCAGGUGACGUGAUAUGAGGGGGGACUAGAACAUAACAGCCAGGUGACGUGAUAUGAGGAGGGACUAGAACAUAACAGCCAGGUGACGUGAUAUGAGGAGGGACUAGAACAUAACAGCCAGGUGACGUGAUAUGAGGAGGGACUAGAACAUAACAGCCAGGUGACGUGAUAUGAGGAGGGACUAGAGCUAAAGAAAGGAAACAAUUGUAUGAGUGUAACCGAUUUGUACCAGUCAGGCCCUCCAUUCUCUGUAAGCAGUUUUGUGAGAGGUUUUAUUUCAAUAGUUUAGUCCUGGAAAAACAAGGAGAGAUGAGGUUAGAAAUAGCUGCUGGGACUGUUAAAGACCUCCCUGUUGUAUUCAGGUAAUGUUUACCUUCAUUUUACCAGGAAAUUUAAAGCAUUAUACCAGUUUCUUAAAGUGGAACUGACAGCAUUUUAGCAACAUGAAAUCUUAAAACCUGUUCAUAGACAUCUCAGGAAGAUUAAAAAUAAAAAUAAAACAUUUUCUGACAAGCAAGCACUUAUGGUCGUUUUCACGUUUCAUUAAUUCUUAGAAUGUUUUUUAUAUUUUUAUUUUACCUUUUAUUUAACCAGGCAAGUCAGUUAAGAACAAAUUCUUAUUUUCAAUGAC
Molecule: long non-coding RNA, 4712 nt
Organism: Oncorhynchus tshawytscha (Chinook salmon)
Lineage: Eukaryota; Metazoa; Chordata; Actinopteri; Salmoniformes; Salmonidae
Exons: 3
Source: RefSeq, a predicted model, not a curated record